This 320-nucleotide ribosomal RNA is filed under the name uncultured eukaryote. RNAcentral describes it as "partial 18S ribosomal RNA". It matches the Rfam family "Eukaryotic small subunit ribosomal RNA", at positions 1470 to 1796 of the family's 1831-position model. The record is from RNAcentral.
CCCCUAGAUGUUCUGGGCCGCACGCGCGCUACACUGAACAGUUCAACAAGUCUUAACCUUGGCCGAUAGGUCUGGGUAAUCUUUGAACGCUGUUCGUGACUGGGAUAGACCUUUGCAAUUAUGGGUCUUCAACGAGGAAUUCCUAGUAAACGCAAGUCAUCAGCUUGCGUUGAUUACGUCCCUGCCCUUUGUACACACCGCCCGUCGCACCUACCGAUUGAAUGGUCCGGUGAAAUCUCGGGACGGCGGCUUGGUCGCUUGCGUCCGACUGCUGAAACUUGAUUAAACCAUAUCAUUUAGAGGAAGGUGAAGUCGUAACA